UGUGGUGGGGAAGGAUUGUGGUGGGAAUGGGUGGUGGUUGGGGGUAAGUUGUGAUGGGAGUGGGUUGUGGAUGAGGAUAGGUCAUGGUUGGGGAUGAAAAUGGAUUGGAUAUGGGUAAGAGGAUGGAGUGGGGAAUGGACUAGAUUGAGUUAGGCAUUGAAGUUCACAGGUGAUAGAAUUGGGUUGCAUUUGAAACAUAUGUUGAGGAUGGUUGGGCAUGCUGCAAAGUUGGUUGUUGAGAUGUUUGAAGAGGUUGCGGAUGGUAAUGAGGAUGGUUUGGUGAUUGGAAAGAAUGUAGAAUUGGGAUGGAGUAGGGGCAUGAGGGAAAGGGAUGUGAAUGAGUUUGAGAUUUGUUGGUGAUGGAGAUGGGACUUGAAGUGGAGGCUGGUAUUGGGGCUGGAGAUAGGGUUGGGCUGGUGGUUGAUGUUUUUUAUGGGAAUGGGUUAGAGAUUUGGAAGGAGAUGGGGUUGGGAUUGUGGAUGAUGGUCAGGAUGGGGAUGGGAUUGGAGUGUGGUGGGGAUGGGAUUGGGUUUCAUGAUUGGCACUCGAGGAGGUACUCCUUGCCUUGGUUCCUGAGGGAAGUGCCAUGCCUGUCAGGAUGCUGGUGAUGAAAGUGAAGAAAUCCAGCAUGGAUGGGUUGGAGCCGGUAAAGAGGAUGGUGCUUAUUAGGGCUAUGCAAAGGCAGAAGCUGGUGAUGCUGGAGAAGAGGAGGAAGGCCCAGGAAAGGUCCAGCAAGUCUGGGGAAGGAAGAUAAUCAGGAACACCAUGAUUGGCCCAGGCUCUGAGUAUGGGGACAAGGGUCACCAGUUGGUGUGGGAGUAUUCUCAAAGCUCCUCCCUUGCAAAUUAUUUAUUCUCAUUUUAGGAAAAUUUAAAUUGGUCUCCAGAGAAGAGACAUUGAGACUGAUACUUCCAGCACUGAGGAUCUACCUCUAGAAGUCUAGCUCAGAACUUGGCCUCCGGCCUGGGCACUGCCUCAUACCUGCCAGAAUUGAUCUCAAUGGAGCUGCACAAUGAGAGGUUUUGCAUGUUGUCUAGAGGACUUUGGUUGAGUUCAGAGCUGAGCACACUUGCCUUCAGACUCUCCUGGGACUCCCAGUUCUCAUCCAUAUGAGCAAGCGCUUCAUAUUACUGGCCGUGGCCCUGUGCUGAGUCCUCCUCCCGCCCAUGGCCCUCUCCUCCUGGCCUGUGGUCCUCCGCCUGAACAUGGCCGACUUUGUCUUCAGUUUCCUCUGCCUCGGCAUUGGGCUCCUGAUUUCUCUUCAGCCUGACGCUCUUUUCAGUUAACUGCAAGGCGGUGCACCCAAGUCCGAUGGUGUCCUACCUGGUGACCUCCUACCUGUGCUGGGACGCCAGCGACUUGAGGCUGCACUCCGGAGCCGUGUCCUACCUAAGCCCAGUGGGCAUGUGAAGCAGAGGGCAGCCCUUGAAUGCGCGGCGGCUGAGCUACCGCGGGUGGGCCGUGCAGCAGGGCGCAGCGAGGCGGACAUCCAAACAGCGGAACUCAGACACUGACUCCGAGCACACCCCGGGCCUUCCCAUUUCAUACACCCUCGAGGAUGAGACCCAAGCACCUCCAAGGAAUAGCACCCGAGGUCUUCAGGACACCGACCGGUAGCCAUGGCCAGAUGCCCGGCCAACCCCUUCAGCGUGGUCACGCCCCGGAUAUUCGACCUCCCCUGAGGCCCCACCCCCUGAUAUCAGGCCACGCCCUCCGAGGGGACCGGUGGCAAACUCCAACCCUCGCUCUAGGGCCCGCCCUUUGCGGCUUUAUCCCUGCCCACUGGGUCCUCACAGUACCUCCACCCCAGAAGUCCAGCAUCCCCUCCCGUUCUGCAGACACUUGUCCAGCGUCCCGCUGAGCUUGGCAGUGUGGCUAGUUUGUGUGGCCCUGCCCCUGGUGCCCAGCCUUCGCAGGCCACACCCUGAAGCCACUCUCCACCCCCUCAGCCAGGGUGGUCUGCAUGGAACUUCUUUCCCGGAGUUCCAGCCUCAGCUCCGAUGUCCACCCUUGUCCCCAGGUGGACACAGCACCGCCCAGCAUUUGGUGCAACUCCACCCUUCUGCGGAACGGGCCCCUCCCUGGGAAGGCAUGGCUUGCAAUAACAUCCCUCUGUACCUUUUCUGGCUUCCCCGCCACAAUAAAACCGCUCAGCCUCA
This is a long non-coding RNA of Pan troglodytes (chimpanzee), 2159 nucleotides long. RefSeq lists it as uncharacterized. The record is from RefSeq and is a predicted model, not a curated record. Lineage: Eukaryota; Metazoa; Chordata; Mammalia; Primates; Hominidae. The transcript is spliced from 5 exons.